AACCGAAUUGAUAACUGGAUGGAUUGAUCGGUGUUCAGUCCCUUUCUGUCUUUUAAGUAUUCGGGAAAUCAAUGCCCAGGAAAUGCUUCUUACACGAUGAUUUCGCCAAUUUCAACAAGGAACUUGAUCGUUUACUUUUCCUCGACAUCU
This 150-nucleotide small nucleolar RNA is filed under the name Lodderomyces elongisporus NRRL YB-4239. Lineage: Eukaryota; Fungi; Ascomycota; Pichiomycetes; Serinales; Debaryomycetaceae. The record is from RNAcentral.